AGGUGCGAUCAUACCAGCACUAAUGCAUCGAAUCCCAUCAGAACACCACAGUUAAGCGUGCUUGGGCGAGAGUAGUUCUAGGAUGGGUGAUCUCUUGGGAAGUCCUCGUGUUGCACCCA
This 119-nucleotide ribosomal RNA is filed under the name Vigna radiata var. radiata (mung bean). Lineage: Eukaryota; Viridiplantae; Streptophyta; Magnoliopsida; Fabales; Fabaceae. The record is from RNAcentral.